This 642-nucleotide ribosomal RNA is filed under the name Bacillus tequilensis. RNAcentral's name for it is "bacterial SSU rRNA". It matches the Rfam family "Bacterial small subunit ribosomal RNA", at positions 87 to 714 of the family's 1533-position model. Lineage: Bacteria; Bacillati; Bacillota; Bacilli; Caryophanales; Bacillaceae. The record is from RNAcentral.
UGAUGUUAGCGGCGGACGGGUGAGUAACACGUGGGUAACCUGCCUGUAAGACUGGGAUAACUCCGGGAAACCGGGGCUAAUACCGGAUGGUUGUUUGAACCGCAUGGUUCAAACAUAAAAGGUGGCUUCGGCUACCACUUACAGAUGGACCCGCGGCGCAUUAGCUAGUUGGUGAGGUAACGGCUCACCAAGGCAACGAUGCGUAGCCGACCUGAGAGGGUGAUCGGCCACACUGGGACUGAGACACGGCCCAGACUCCUACGGGAGGCAGCAGUAGGGAAUCUUCCGCAAUGGACGAAAGUCUGACGGAGCAACGCCGCGUGAGUGAUGAAGGUUUUCGGAUCGUAAAGCUCUGUUGUUAGGGAAGAACAAGUACCGUUCGAAUAGGGCGGUACCUUGACGGUACCUAACCAGAAAGCCACGGCUAACUACGUGCCAGCAGCCGCGGUAAUACGUAGGUGGCAAGCGUUGUCCGGAAUUAUUGGGCGUAAAGGGCUCGCAGGCGGUUUCUUAAGUCUGAUGUGAAAGCCCCCGGCUCAACCGGGGAGGGUCAUUGGAAACUGGGGAACUUGAGUGCAGAAGAGGAGAGUGGAAUUCCACGUGUAGCGGUGAAAUGCGUAGAGAUGUGGAGGAACACCAGUG